GACGAACGCUGGCGGCAUGCUUAACACAUGCAAGUCGAACGGAAAGGCCUUGCUCUUGUGGCGUGCUCGUGUGGCGAACGGGUGAAUAACCCGUGAGUAACCUGCCCUUGACUUUGGGCUAUUUCUAGGAACCUGGGGCUAAUACAGGAUAGGAGCUCCUGCUGCCUGGUGGGGGUUGGAAAGUUUCGGCGGUUGGGGAUGGACUCGAGGCUUCUCAGCUGGUUGGUGGGGUCGUGGCAUACCAAGGCGUCGACGAGUAGUGGGCGUGAGGAGGGGACCGGCAGCAAUGGUACUGAGGAGAGGCCCAGACGACUACGAGGGGCAGCAGUGGGGAAGAUUGCACCAUAAGGGGAGGACUGAUGCAGCAGCGCCGCGUGCGGGAGGACGGACUUCGAGGUGUAAACCACUUUCUCCUUUGGAGAAGCGUGAAUGACGGUAACGGAUAAAGAAGCACCGGCUAACUACGUG
Molecule: ribosomal RNA, 468 nt
Filed under: uncultured bacterium
Lineage: Bacteria
Description: partial 16S ribosomal RNA
Rfam family: Bacterial small subunit ribosomal RNA
Source: RNAcentral